UAUAAAAUAAAAGAAUUAAUUGAAUUUAAUUUCAUUUUAUUUUUUUCCUUUUAUAUUUUGCUUUUUUAUUUUGUUUUAUUUUUAUUUUAAUUUUUUUUUUUUUUUUUUUUUUUUUUUUCCCUUAUUGACUAUUUUUCUAAGCUAAUGUGGAAAAAUAUAACUUGCUUCUUUUUUUUUUUUUCUUUUCUGAAGGGAGAAAAAAAAGAAAAAUAUGAAAGAUACAUUUAUUUAAUUUACUGAGGAUUGUGAAAAUUAUAUUAAUUGUAUAUGAUGCGAAAUAAUAUAAUUUAAGAUGUUUUUAUAAAGUACUUUUUUAACCCACUCGUCUUGAAACACGGACCAAGGAGUCUAACAAAUGUGCAAGUGUAUAUGAUAAGAAUAAACAUAGUAUAAAAAUUUCUACGCAUAAUUAAUGUAACAAAAAUAUAUGUUUAUUAAUUGUAGAUUUUGUGGGGUUUUAAAUUUUUUUUAUAAAUCCACACAAAUGCAUACAAUACCGGUGAGCAAUUAUGCUUUAUUGAGUAAGAGCAUACUUGUUAGGACCCGAGAGGCUUUGAACUAAACGUGAUGAGAUUGAAGUCAGAGUAAAAUCUGAUGGAGGAUCGAGUUGAUACUGACGUGCAAAUCGUUCAUUUCAAUUGCGUUUAGGGGCGAAAGACUAAUCGAAAAGCCUAUUAGCUGGUUAUUUUCGAAAGAUCUCUCAGGAUCGCUGGAGUUGAUUAUAAUAUAGUUUUACCUGGUAGAAAUAAUGAUUAGAGGAUUCAAGGAGAUGAUAAUUCCUUGACCUAUAUAUAUCGAAAGAUUCAAUAGGUAAAAAAAUGAGGAAAUAACUUUAUUGUAUUUUCAUUCAUAUUUAAAAAUAAGAUAACUCCAAGUUGGCCAUUUUUGGUAAGCAGAACUGGCGAUGAGGGAUGCUCCUAACGCUUGGAUAAGGUGCCUAAAUAUCCGCUCAUUAGAUACCAUUAAAAAGGUGUUGGUUUGUGAUUACAGUAGGACGGUAUUCAUAGAAGUUGAAAUCCGCUAGGAAGUGUGUAACAACUUACCUACCUAAUAAACUCGCCCUGAAAAUGGAUGGCGCUAAAGCGGAUUACCGAUACCAAGCCAUAAAAAAGAAAAAAAAAAAAAAUUCAAUAUUUUUUUUAUUUUUUUAGAUUCUUUUUAUGAGUAGAAAAUCGUGGGGUUUUGUGUUGAAGCGAAAUACGUGAGUUUUCGUGGAACAUCUCCCUAGUGCAGAUCUUGGUGGAAGUAGCAAAUAUUCUUAUGAGAACUUUGAAGACUGAAGUGGAGAAGGGUUUUUUGUAAACUAUGUUUGAGCAAAAGUUAGCCGUUCCUAAGAGAUAGCUGAAAAGCGUUAUAAAUUGAGGUUACCUAUUAUAUGAAAAGUAUAGUAGUGUUUUUUCUCUUCUCGAAAGGGAAGCAGGUUGAUAUUCCUGCGCCAUAUGUAAUAAGAACUAAUAAAUAGAGAUGGUAACAUAUAUAUAAAUAAAUGAACUCCUUAACAUAGGCCUUACGCUUGGAGUGCGUUAUCUUUGCACUUUAACUUUAUAUCAAACCUUCGAAAUCGAUUUACUUGUAGAAAAGGUUCGAUGAAUUUACAAUAAGCAAUUUAUUUAUUAUAUGCGUGGACCGGUACACAUGAUAUAUAUAUUAAUGAAUUGUUUUGUAGUAAUAGUAAUUCGUUUGUUGUACGAAUUAUCCAAAGUUGUAUGGACUAUCCAUGAAAAAAGGAGGGAACACUAAAUUAAAUGGGAAUGUAUAAAAUACUAUAAAAGUAUGAAAGAAGAAAAAGUAAAGAAAGGAAAGAAAAAAAAAUAUUAACCUUCAGCUUUUUUUUCUAUUUUUUUUUUCUUUUUUUGCUUUCAUAUAUUUUUAUAGUGUUUUUACAUUAACCAUUUUUUUUUUUAUAUUCUUAAAUUACAAUUAUAAAAAUGAACGUACCAAUAACCGCAUCAGGUCUCCAAGGUUAGUAGCCUCUGGUUAAAUAGAAAAACGUAGGUAAGGGAAGUCGGCAAAUUAGAUCCGUAACUUCGGGAAAAGGAUUGGCUCUGAUAACACAAAAUGAGAAGAAAAAAAUGAAAAGAAAAAAAUGAAAAGAAUUGUGGUUGAAAAUAAAAAUGUUAAGAUGUUUAUUUAUAUAUUUAUAUUAGUUUUUCUUAUAUUUUAAGAUUAAUUAAUUAAUUAUAUAUUUAAUAUGUUAAAAUGUUUUAUAUUUCUUCUUCUACUCUAUUCUAUUCCAUUCUAUUCUAUUCUAUUUUUUUUUUUCUCUUUCUCUUCGAUAUUACAUAUAUUUUGUUAUUAUAAUAAAAAUUAUGUAAUAUUGUUUAGCUGUGUUUAUUCAGAACUGAAACGGACAAGGGGAAUCCGACUGUUUAAUAAAAACAUAGCAUUGUGAAAAGCUAUAACUGGUAUUAACACAAUGUGAUUUCUGCCCAGUGCUUUGAAUGUCAAGUUGAUGAAAAUUUCAAUUAAGCGCAGGUAAACGGCGGGAGUAACUAUUAUGACUCUCUUAAGGUAGCCAAAAAUGUAUGGUCGAUAAAAAGGACCAUCAGGAAUGGAUUAACGAGAUUCCUACUGUCCCUACUUGCGAUCUAGCGAAACCACAACCAAGGGAAAGGGCUUGGUAAAAUCAGCAGGGAAAGAAGACCCUGUUGUGCUUUACUCUAGUCUGACUUUGUAAAAAGAUUUAAGAGGUAUAGUAUAAGUGGUAGUAGAAAUUGAAAUAAUGUUUUUACGUCAGUGAAAUACCACUACUUUUAAAAAGUUUUUACUAAUCCAUUUAUCUAGUGAAUGACUAUUAUAUAAAUAUAUAUAUAUAUAUAUAUUUUCUAUAUUUUAUGUGUAUCACUUUUUAUGGAGACAGAGUCAGGUGGGGAGUUUGACUAAGGUGGUACAUCUGUUAAAAAAUAACGCAGAUGUCCAAAGAUAAGCUCAAGGAGAACAGAAAUCUCUUGUAGACUAAAAGGGGAAAAGCUUGUUUGAUUUCUAUUUUCAGAACGAGUAGAAAACGUGAAAGCGUGGCCUAUCGAUCCUUUAUAUUUGCAAAAUGACGUAAAAUUAUUUACUACUGUGCAUAUAAAGGUGUCUGAAAAGUUACCACAGGGAUAACUUGUUUGUGGCUGCUUAGCGAUAUUAGCAACGUGGCUUUUUGUAUUUUCGAUUACGGCUCUUCCUAUCAUUGGGACGCAGAAGUCUCAAAGUGUCGGAUUGUUCACCCGCUAAUAGGGAACGUGAGCUGGGUUUAGACCGUCGUGAGACAGGUUAGUUUUACCCUACUGAUGAAUAUUAUUAUAUUAUUAUAUAUAUAUAUAUAUAGUAUUGUGACAGUAAUCCAACUUGGUACGAGAGGAUUAGUUGGUUCAGACAAUUGGUACAGCAAUUGGGUUGAUAAACCAGUGUUGCGAAGCUACGUCUGUUGGAUAAUGACUGAACGAUUCUAAAGUCAGAACCCAUACUGAUUAAACAAUAAUAUAAUUGUAUAUUUUUGUUAUAAGGUUGUGUUUUAUUUUUUUUUAUUGCUAAUGUAAAAGAGAAAUUUAAUAUAUGCGUUAAUCUAUAUAUAUUAUGUAUAGAUUUUCAUAAACAUAUAAAUAAUCCCAUAAAGACGUAUCUUUUUUUUUUCUAAACAAAGAAAAAUAUGUUCUUUUUAUUGUAAUUUAACAACAAAAAUAAUCUAAAGUAUAUUGUAGACGACAUUUUUAGCCUCAGAGUGCUGUAAACAUGUGAGCAAACUUGUUUUGCGAACUGUUCAGGCUUAUCUCUUGUGGUUUUUGCUUUUAUAAAAAAAAACAUCUACAAAAUGAAAAUAUUGAAAUUGUUGCAAAUAUAAAAUACGUGUAUUUAUUAUAUAUGUAACAAUUUUAUUAUUCAUAUAACAAUUAUUAAUGUAUCAAUUUUUUUUUUUUUUUAACUUUAUUUUUUUAUUUAUUUAUAGGUAUAUAUAUAUAUAUAUAAUUGGACAAAUCUUUCAUAGGAAAUUAUAUAUUUUUAUAUAUUUAUUGCAUAUAUCAAAUAUUCAUAAUAUAUCACCACAUAGAUGAUAAAUAAAUAAAUAAAUAAAUAUAUAUAUAUAUAUAUAUAUAUAUAUAUAUAUAAUAUUUUGUUUAUGUUUUUAUAAAACGUUAAAAACAUUAUAUAUUUUAUUUUUAUUUAAGAAAAACUUUUUAUUGUUUUCCUAGAAUGAAAGUGAAAAUAUUAAGAACAUUUUUAAUAGAAUGUAUGUCUAUCUAUGUAUGUAAUAUUUUAAUUAUAUAAUAUAGUUUUAUGUUUGAUUAUCUUGAUGCAUAAAAUUUUAAUAUAUAAUUAUAGAUAUUUAAUUAAAAAUUUGACAAAUAAAUAGAAAAUGUUAUUUAUUUGUUUAUUAUUUUUUUUUUAUUUUCUAAAUGAUCAUAUAUAUAUAUAUAUAUAUAUUAAAAAUGAUAACUUUUAUAUAUGUAUGUUUUAUCUAUGUAGAACUUAUUACAUACAUGAAAUAUAUAAUAUACAUCAUUAAUUAUAUAAUAUAAAAGUACAUCAUGUUAGAAAUAAAAUUUUAAGUUUAAUACGAUAACGAGUUAUAUACUUAUAUAUUUUAAUAUAACUAUUUUGUAUAAUAUAAAGGGGGGUUGUCUAUUAAAAAUUAUAUAUUAUCUUUAUAUGUGUUUGAUUUGGAAAAUUACAGGAUUAUUAUAUUGUUAUUAUUAUAAAGUGUAUACGAUUUAAAUAAAUAUAUAUAUAUAUAUAUAUAUAUAUAUAUAAUUUUUGUAUUAUAUAAUAUUGAUAUAAUCACAUGUUUAUUAAUUGAUAAUAAUAAUGAUAAUAUUAUAAUAUAAUAUAAUUUUAUGAAGCUAUUUAUAUUUUAUUGUAUUUUUUUAGAUAUCAUAGCUUCUAGUAAGAGUUUAGAUUCACUCAAUAAAUUUUCCUCUUCUUCAUAGGAUAAGCAUAUAAAAUUAUUUUUCAAUAAACUUUUGAUAAAAUAAAAAAAGAGUUCCUCUUUUUUUGAUACAAUUAUUUUAUUUUCUGUACUUAUAUUUUGAAUAUUAUCAUAAAUUUCUUUAAAUAUAUAUUUUUUAACAUUUUCAUACUUUACAUCUCUAUAAUAGUAACUAUUAAGUUUAAAAGGUUCUCCUGGUAACAAUUCAUAAUAUUCUUCUUGAUUAUCUGAAGAAUCUUUUAAAUUGUAGAGUUUAAGAAAUUCGUCAUAAUUUCUUGUCAUUUUAAAAUUUUCAAAAACCUUUGUGUGUUUUUUUUUAUAUGGUCCGAUAGGACUAUAUUGAUAUCUAUUAAUUGAUGAUAAUGAUAUAUUUUCAACAUCUUCUAAAAUAUUAAAUGAUUCUUCUGUAUCAUUUGAAAAAAUAUGAUUCACGGAAUAAUCUUCAUUAACAUAUUCAUAAUCACUUGUAUCUUCAUCACUGUUCUCAUAUAAUUGAAGUUCACCAAAAGAAAUAUCUAAAUUAUCUUCUGAGUUAGUACUGUAUAACAAUAAUUCAUCCAUCGUAUUACUAUUAGUACUAAUAAGACUAUUUGAUGAAUCUUGAUUUUUGAGUUCAUUUGAAUUUGUUUUAAUAUUUUGUGUGAAGGUAUUUAUUUCAUUUUCAUUAUUAUGAUGAAUAGUAUUGUUAUUUUGAUUUGUUUGUUGCUCUAAUUUAUUGUUCAUUUCUUUUUUUAAUUUUUUUUUUUUUAAUUUUGAGAUUUCUGUAAUUAUAUUAUCAAGGUCUAUCAUAGUAGAAGAAGGAGAGGGGUAGUCUAUGUUAGUUGAUCUUGUUAAAUCAGAAUUAUUUUUGACUCCUUCAAGUAUUUCAUAUUCUUCUUCAUCAUCUAUUAAAUUUGGUACUUCAGAGGGGCUUAAACCAAAUAUAUCAUUUGUAUUAUUAUUAUUACUAUUAUUUUUUUUUAAUGUAUUCGUUCUUGU
This 5887-nucleotide ribosomal RNA is filed under the name Plasmodium falciparum Vietnam Oak-Knoll (FVO). RNAcentral describes it as "28S ribosomal RNA". The stretch from base 1 to 3775 matches the Rfam family "Eukaryotic large subunit ribosomal RNA", at positions 423 to 3401 of the family's 3401-position model. The record is from RNAcentral. Lineage: Eukaryota; Apicomplexa; Aconoidasida; Haemosporida; Plasmodiidae.